This 253-nucleotide ribosomal RNA is filed under the name uncultured bacterium. RNAcentral describes it as "partial 16S ribosomal RNA". It matches the Rfam family "Bacterial small subunit ribosomal RNA", at positions 524 to 776 of the family's 1533-position model. The record is from RNAcentral.
GACGAACCACACAAACGUUAUUCGGAAUUACUGGGCUUAAAGGGUGCGUAGGCUGUGCGGAAAGUUGGGCGUGAAAUACCUCAGCUUAACUGAGGAACUGCGUUCAAAACUACCGUGCUUGAGGGAGACAGAGGUAAGCGGAACUUAGGGUGGAGCGGUGAAAUGCGUUGAUAUCCUAAGGAACACCGGUGGCGAAAGCGGCUUACUGGGUCCCUUCUGACGCUGAUGCACGAAAGCUAGGGUAGCGAACGGG